UACGGGGGGGGCAAGCGUUGUUCGGAAUUACUGGGCGUAAAGGGCUCGUAGGUGGCCAACUAAGUCAGACGUGAAAUCCCUCAGCUUAACUGGGGAACUGCGUCUGAUACUGGAUGGCUUGAGUUUGGGAGAGGGAUGCGGAAUUCCAGGUGUAGCGGUGAAAUGCGUAGAUAUCGGGAGGAACGCCGGUGGCGAAAGCGGCACGCUGGACCUUUUCUGACGCUGAGGCGCGAAAGCCAGGGGAGCAAACGGG
Molecule: ribosomal RNA, 253 nt
Filed under: uncultured bacterium
Lineage: Bacteria
Description: partial 16S ribosomal RNA
Rfam family: Bacterial small subunit ribosomal RNA
Source: RNAcentral